GUGGGGAAUAUUGGACAAUGGGCGAAAGCCUGAUCCAGCCAUGCCGCGUGUGUGAAGAAGGUCUUCGGAUUGUAAAGCACUUUAAGUUGGGAGGAAGGGCAGUAAGUUAAUACCUUGCUGUUUUGACGUUACCAACAGAAUAAGCACCGGCUAACUUCGUGCCAGCAGCCGCGGUAAUACGAAGGGUGCAAGCGUUAAUCGGAAUUACUGGGCGUAAAGCGCGCGUAGGUGGUUUUGUAAGUUGGAGAUGAAAUCCCCGGGCGCAACCUGGGAACUGCCUCCAAAACUGCAUGACUAGAGUACGGUAGAGGGUAGUGGAAUUUCCUGUGUAGCGGUGAAAUGCGUAGAUAUAGGAAGGAACACCAGUGGCGAAGGCGACCACCUGGACUGAUACUGACACUGAGGUGCGAAAGCGUGGGGAGCAAACAGGAUUAGAUACCCGGGUAGUCC
RNAcentral lists this ribosomal RNA (450 nucleotides) under uncultured bacterium. RNAcentral's name for it is "partial 16S ribosomal RNA". It matches the Rfam family "Bacterial small subunit ribosomal RNA", at positions 354 to 796 of the family's 1533-position model. The record is from RNAcentral.